UUUAAGUAUACUCUGUAGUAAAAAGGUGGGAAGCUGUCUGAGAAGGUUACCUUUAAAGUUGGUAUAAAAUUAGUUCUGGGCUUUGAACACACAAUAGCAGGUAAAUGGAAAAACAUCCCAGAAAGUCACCGGUGGCCUGAGGAGGCCAGUUAGGGGAUUUGUAUUUGCCUGAGAUAACACACACUCAGAUACGCAAGGGAGGAAGCCAGUGGUCUCUGCACUGCUCUCACUUGCACUCUUACUUCCACCAGCAUGGCAGCAACAGCCUUCGCCCCAUCUCUCUCAAUCCCUUGGGAACAGGCCCUUCAAGACUUGUCAGAGAAGUAUCACAGAGGAAAAUACUAGAGAUUAUUGUCUGCCAAGUCAAGCUCUUGCUAUCAUCCGGAAAUGUUUAACAUAAGUGAAUCUUUAACUUCAAAAAGUGGCUGUUCUUGGUCUCAGGUAUUAUGUUAUAGUAAUGAAAAUGGACUAACAGGGAUUCGGAUGGACAUCCUUGGAGAUGCUGAUUGUAGCUGCGGUGAUGCCCCAGCCAGCUCUCUUUCCUCCAGGCCCAUUUUGUCCCGUCCUGCAGCCAUUGGAGUCUGAUGAAAAUAGUUCACUGGCCCAGAGUCUGAUGCAAGUUACAGUACAGUUCAUACUCCAGAGCGCCCCAUGGAAUCAGGCUGCAGAGGGUUCUGGCUGAUGCUGUAUUCCUAUUUUGCUCUUUCCCCUGCUCGAUCUCACUUCCCUCAUGCCACUUCUCCUGAGAGUGCUCCCUUAAGAAAUCACAUGCACCAAAAUUCUUGUCACAGGCUCGGCUUCUGGAGAAUAGGACCUGAACUGUCAACUUAACUAGUCCUGUUCGCUUAGAGAAUGCUUUCUGGAGGUCACAGUGCUUAUAAUAUGAAACUUUAAGUUCUAAUAAAUAAAAUAAAAGUCACAAACAGA
Molecule: long non-coding RNA, 927 nt
Organism: Chinchilla lanigera (long-tailed chinchilla)
Lineage: Eukaryota; Metazoa; Chordata; Mammalia; Rodentia; Chinchillidae
Exons: 3
Source: RefSeq, a predicted model, not a curated record